This 469-nucleotide ribosomal RNA is filed under the name uncultured bacterium. Its description in RNAcentral is "partial 16S ribosomal RNA". It matches the Rfam family "Bacterial small subunit ribosomal RNA", at positions 28 to 507 of the family's 1533-position model. The record is from RNAcentral.
GAUGAACGCUGGCGGCGUGCUUAACACAUACAAGUCGAACGAUGAAGCUGGAGCUUGCUCUGGUGGAUUAGUGGCGAACGGGUGAGUAACACGUGAGCAACCUGCCCCUGACUCUGGGAUAACAGCCGGAAACGGCUGCUAAUACCGGAUAUGCACCAUGAACGCAUGUUCUGUGGUGGGAAAGAUUUUUCGGUUGGGGAUGGGCUCGCGGCCUAUCAGCUUGUUGGUGAGGUAAUGGCUCACCAAGGCGUCGACGGGUAGCCGGCCUGAGAGGGUGACCGGCCACACUGGGACUGAGACACGGCCCAGACUCCUACGGGAGGCAGCAGUGGGGAAUAUUGCACAAUGGGCGAAAGCCUGAUGCAGCAACGCCGCGUGAGGGAUGACGGCCUUCGGGUUGUAAACCUCUUUUAGCAGGGAAGAAGCGAGAGUGACGGUACCUGCAGAAAAAGCGCCGGCUAACUACGUG